AUGUGUCAUAGGUCUCAACUGACGAAGUUACUUCCUUUCGGUGAAGGUCUGAAUGUCAUCAUGAUCUUGGCUGAGAGGCAGACAUUUCGGAAGUCUGUUAUUGCCAUUAUCUUCUUGGGAGUACUUGAGAAGGCGUGGCUGGGAAUGUGGGGACACGCCAUGGCAGAGGCGCGUGGUCGGCAGGAGGAGUCAGGGAGGCAUGAAGGUGGACAUGUGGAUGUUAUCGUGGCAUUGACACAUUUCGCUCCACCGAUGCUAUAUACCAGGGUGAGUGUUUUGUCUCGUUGGUCCAUCUAUAUGAGAACCUUCUAA
This 312-nucleotide ribosomal RNA is filed under the name Triticum aestivum (bread wheat). RNAcentral's name for it is "partial small subunit ribosomal RNA". Lineage: Eukaryota; Viridiplantae; Streptophyta; Magnoliopsida; Poales; Poaceae. The record is from RNAcentral.